Molecule: signal recognition particle RNA, 264 nt
Filed under: Anaerolineales bacterium
Lineage: Bacteria; Bacillati; Chloroflexota; Anaerolineae; Anaerolineales
Description: signal recognition particle sRNA large type
Rfam family: Bacterial large signal recognition particle RNA
About the family: The signal recognition particle (SRP) is a universally conserved ribonucleoprotein involved in the co-translational targeting of proteins to membranes. Archaeal SRP consists of a 7S RNA and homologues of the eukaryotic SRP19 and SRP54 proteins. In most bacteria, the SRP consists of a 4.5S RNA and the Ffh protein (a homologue of the eukaryotic SRP54 protein).
Source: RNAcentral
UCGUGCUAGGCGGGGAACUGGCGGUGCCCUGUACCCGCAAUCCGCCAUAGCGGGGUCGAAUCCCCCUCCGAGGGCCGAUCCGCUCGAGACUGCUGUGGUCAGGCGGUGUUGAGGACUGGGUCCUGCGCGGCAGGAGCCUUCAAACCCCGUCAGGUCCGGAAGGAAGCAGCGGUACGUAGUAUCUCCUGGGCGCCGCAGGAGCGCCUGGUCUGAGCCGGAUGGCUAUGGUAAGUUGGGUAGGCUGGCUCGACGAGGGGUGCACGA